Molecule: ribosomal RNA, 431 nt
Filed under: uncultured bacterium
Lineage: Bacteria
Description: bacterial SSU rRNA
Rfam family: Bacterial small subunit ribosomal RNA
Source: RNAcentral
ACGAACGCUGGCGGCAUGCCUAACACAUGCAAGUCGAACGAAGUCUUCGGACUUAGUGGCGCACGGGUGCGUAACGCGUGGGAAUCUGCCCUUAGGUACGGAAUAACUCAUGGAAACGUGUGCUAAUACCGUAUGAUGUCUUCGGACCAAAGAUUUAUCGCCUAGGGAUGAGCCCGCGUUGGAUUAGCUAGUUGGUGAGGUAAAGGCUCACCAAGGCGACGAUCCAUAGCUGGUCUGAGAGGAUGAUCAGCCACACUGGGACUGAGACACGGCCCAGACUCCUACGGGAGGCAGCAGUGGGGAAUAUUGGACAAUGGGCGCAAGCCUGAUCCAGCAAUGCCGCGUGAGUGAUGAAGGCCUUAGGGCUGUAAAGCUCUUUUACCCGGGAAGAUAAUGACUGUACCGGGAGAAUAAGCCCCGGCUAACUCCGU